This 512-nucleotide ribosomal RNA is filed under the name uncultured bacterium. Its description in RNAcentral is "partial 16S ribosomal RNA". It matches the Rfam family "Bacterial small subunit ribosomal RNA", at positions 28 to 507 of the family's 1533-position model. The record is from RNAcentral.
GAUGAACGCUGGCGGCGUGCCUAAUACAUGCAAGUCGAACGAAACUUCUUUAUCACCGAGUGCUUGCACUCACCGAUAAAGAGUUGAGUGGCGAACGGGUGAGUAACACGUGGGCAACCUGCCCAAAAGAGGGGGAUAACACUUGGAAACAGGUGCUAAUACCGCAUAACCAUAGUUACCGCAUGGUAACUAUGUAAAAGGUGGCUAUACUACCGCUUUUGGAUGGGCCCGCGGCGCAUUAGCUAGUUGGUAGGGUAAAGGCUUACCAAGGCAAUGAUGCGUAGCCGAACUGAGAGGUUGAUCGGCCACACUGGAACUGAGACACGGCCCAAACUCCUACGGGAGGCAGCAGUAGGGAAUCUUCCACAAUGGGCGAAAGCCUGAUGGAGCAACGCCGCGUGGGUGAAGAAGGUCUUCGGAUCGUAAAACCCUGUUGUUAGGGAAGAAAGUGCGUGAGAGUAACUGUUCACGUUUCGACGGUAUCUAACCAGAAAGCCACGGCUAACUACGUG